UCUCCGUAGGUGAACCUGCGGAGGGAUCAUUACAGAGUUCUCGCCCUCGCGGGUAGAUCUCCCACCCACUGUUAUCGUUACUGUGUUGCUUUGGCGGGCCGCCGGGCCCCGCUCGGCCGCCGGCUCCGGCUGGCGCGCGCCCGCCAGAGGCCCAGCAAGCUCUGAAUGUUAGUGUCGUCUGAGUACUAUAUAAUAGUUAAAACUUUCAACAACGGAUCUCUUGGUUCUG
Molecule: unclassified non-coding RNA, 229 nt
Filed under: plant metagenome
Description: partial contains small subunit ribosomal RNA, internal transcribed spacer 1, and 5.8S ribosomal RNA
Source: RNAcentral